This 516-nucleotide ribosomal RNA is filed under the name uncultured bacterium. RNAcentral describes it as "partial 16S ribosomal RNA". It matches the Rfam family "Bacterial small subunit ribosomal RNA", at positions 28 to 523 of the family's 1533-position model. The record is from RNAcentral.
GACGAACGCUGGCGGCGUGCCUAAUACAUGCAAGUCGAGCGGACGUUUUUGAAGCUUGCUUCAAAAACGUUAGCGGCGGACGGGUGAGUAACACGUGGGCAACCUACCUUAUCGACUAGGAUAACUCCGGGAAACCGGGGCUAAUACCGGAUAACAGCUAGCACCUCCUGGUGCCGGAUUAAAAGAGGGCUUCUUGCUCUCACGCUGAGAUGGGCCCGGGGCGCAUUAGCGAGUUGGAGAGGUAACGGCUCCCCAAGGCGACGAUGCGUAGCCGACCUGAGAGGGUGAUCGGCCACACUGGGACUGAGACACGGCCCAGACUCCUACGGGAGGCAGCAGUAGGGAAUCUUCCGCAAUGGACGAAAGUCUGACGGAGCAACGCCGCGUGAGUGAUGAAGGGUUUCGGCUCGUAAAGCUCUGUUAUGAGGGAAGAACACGUACCGUUCGAAUAGGGCGGUACCUUGACGGUACCUCAUCAGAAAGCCACGGCUAACUACGUGCCAGCCGCCGCCGUAA